Molecule: RNA transcript, 17907 nt
Organism: Lagopus muta (rock ptarmigan)
Lineage: Eukaryota; Metazoa; Chordata; Aves; Galliformes; Phasianidae
Gene: PTPN4
Gene name: protein tyrosine phosphatase non-receptor type 4
Exons: 26
Source: RefSeq, a predicted model, not a curated record
UUACAGUGCAGCUGAUGCAACUCCCUCAACCUGUGCUGAGCCUACUGCAGUUCCUAAAGCAGAUUUUCCCGUAUUUCUGUUGCUUUUCCCCUUCCAGUUCCUGUGCCUCCAUCAGCAUUGGCAGUGACCUAUGAGCCCAGCCAGAGUGGUUUGGAUUGGGUGGGCACCCAUACUGUCAGGUGAUAAUUGUCAAAGUAUUUAGUGCGUGGAGAGGUUGGGAUGUUGCAUUUGAAACAUUGUAAGAAAGAACUUCAGAAUCCAUCUCUCCCUACCACAUCGGAUUUCAUGUAGAGGAGUGUGUUUGUUCAGGUGCUUUACAGUACACCUUGGAUUUGCCUAUCCCAGCCUACUCCUGCUGGUUUGUUUCAGUAACAUUAGAUGUUCUGUCACAAAACAAAACAAAAAAACAGCUUUAAUCUUUCACGUUUUUUCAUACAGCAAAAUGCCAUGUUUAGUGUUUUCUUGGCAAAAGUAAUGAUGCGUAUUUUCAAUGUGCAUUAAUUUAAAAGGUCUGCACUUCAGCAGUGCUCUCAUAAAUAGUAAACUUGACUGUGCAGUAAGAAAGCUACGUGGAGGCUUCUACUAGAGAGUUGUAAUUGUAGACGUGUGUAGGUACUAGUUAAAACAGGAAGGUCUGUCUUUCUGGAAUGGUCUGCUAGGGUCACUGGUGAAGAUAAAAUCCAGUCUUUCCUGGGCUGUGUUGUGUGACUGUGUGCCAAAGUUGAUAUGCUAUAGGGAUCGUGCCAAGUAAUGUGGGAUUUAAGGGUUGCUCGUUAAUUAAAGGAGUUUUUUGUCUUUUAGAGUUGCAUAAAUGAACCUUUCUUCUAAGAAUUUCUUUUGUUUAUAUAUUGAUGUUCCUUGUUUAUUUGUACCGCCGUCAUCAUUUUUUCUUUAUCUCUCACAUAUUAAUCCAUUUUCAUACCUUGAUGAGAGAAAGUCUGCAUCAGAAUGACUGGCACAGAUAAAGGAGUCCAGUGCUGUGUUGGCUCUGGUUAAAGAUGCAAGCUCAGUGAUGCUGACAGUGGUUAGUGAUAACAGGUGUAAGGAGCUGGCCCUGUUUAUACUGAACCUUCCUGGUGCAGAUUUGUAAUAACUGGCAAUAAAUUGGUUUCUGUUUUGCUUGCUUUUUAACACUGUAGAUAGGGAUGACUGUAGGUUUUAUUUACUAUGACAUAUAGCUAAUUUUCAAUGCUCUUGGUAAGCCUUGGUGUGUUUCUCCUUUUCUUGUGGUAGUGAAGACAAGGAUUGACUAAGGAGGCAGCUGGUGUAUUACAGUGUGUUGUGUAAAUUCCUGCGUUCAUUGUCAUGGCAAAAAAAAGAACAAGCAUAAAAUUUGAAGUUAUGUGAGGAUCAUGUUGUUAUUAAUGUAUGGCAUGUAGAUAACAACCCUUAUUCCAAUGCCAGUACCUGAUAAGAACAGUGAGAUGUGUGACCAGCGUGGGCUGCUGCCACUGACUCACCGUGCAACGACAGGCAAAUUGCUCAGUUUUCUGCAUCUGCUUCUUCUGUUUCUUAAAUGAGAAAUAUUGUUUCCCAGUAAAAUAUUUGAGAGUCUUGGAUAAAAAGAGGUUAUUUUUCUUGUAUGCCUCGCGAGUACGUAAAUUUGAAGCAGGAAAGUGCAGCACAUACCAGCUUCUGUGCAAGUCUCUUACCAGCACAGACAGAAUGAUGGAGUCUUGUUCAUUACGGGUUGUGUUAAAGCAUCUCAUAUUCCUGGAAACCUUAGUAGAACACAGACCAAAAGAGGUGUUUAGGUCUGAUUUCAUACUUGUUUGUAUUCUGUUCAAGCCCUUUUAGUUUUACUAUCUGUCUAGCUAAGCACAGAUUCAAUAAAAUGUCUGAUGUGUGCAUUGAUUAUUGACCAUCUAGUUUUCUCCUAUAUGCCAGGCACUGUGCCACCUUCAGAUGAAGUAGUACAGGGAGCCUUAUAGGGAAGUUUUCUGACAAUAUUCAUCGUCUCUUUCACGUUAUGUUUUUGGCUGUGUUAUUAUAUCACUCAAUUUUCAUGAUCCUUUGGAAUACUUGACCUUUCCAGCACAAUCUGUGUUAGCUUUAUAGUCUUAAUCUCUCUCCUGGCACCUCCUGAAACAAAACACAAAUUAAUGAUGCAGAUACCACAAAACAAAUCACAUGCUGCUUGUUUCUUCCCAACUGUUCUUCAUUGUCAUUGUUUGCUGUAUUGUAUGCCUGUCCUUGUGUAUUCUGUGGUGAAAGGGACCUAAAAAAUGCAGGAAUUUUUAAGGGGGACAGUGGCAGAUAAGUAGAGAAAUGAUGUUAAGGAUUCAAAUAUACAGAGGAAGGUUUAGCUAAACAUAAAAAGAGCACCACUAUUUCAGCGCUGACAAGUGGAUGUUAAUUUUUGGCUUUGAUGCAUGGUUUGGAUUUAAUGAAUUCAGGCUUAUUUUGUGAUAGUCUGUAAAUAGCUUUGGAAGUGGUGGAGGAUACAUGAGAUGUCUGGUCUCUGGCAAUGCAGGAGAGUAUGUGCCAUUGGCUCUUUCUGUAAAUGAUUGCCCUUGUAUUUCUGCAUCUUCAUCUCUUUCCAUUGAAUUUAUCAUCCUUCAUCCUGCUUUAAUUUACUGAAUUUCUUACACUUUCUUUGCAACAAGUGCCUGCUUCGACUUCAUUGUGAUAAAUAAAAAUAAUCCCAUUGAUUACUGUGCUUAGUGCCCCAUUUUAUCCAGCUGUCCUGCCCCACAUUCAGUGAAUGCACAAUCUGAAACUUCUGUUUAGAGUUUCCUUUUACCUUUUUCCCCACAUUGUGACUGUUAUCUACGCUUUUAUUUUUCUUUUUGCUUUUCAUGAAAUGAAUGAUCUUCCCUUGGCUGCAUGCAAUACCUCAACUCUGUUUUACCAUUUGGACCAUGAUUCUGAACGAAGGCGCUGCAUCCUCUCCCUGUGGCCCCUCCUGUCUUCCUUGUGCUGCCGUAGUGCUUGAACCACACAGUGAACCAUGGCGGGGAGUUGGUCUGACUGAAAAAUAAUGUUGCCAAAAUUGUGUUGUUUCUUAAUUCUCCGCUCUGGGUUACCAUAUGGCUGUACAAAUGGCCGUGUCAGCAGUAGGGAGAGGAUGAUGCAAGGCUGGAGACAAGUGGCCAGACACAGGAGUAGGUCAGGAAUGCUGCUUCAGCUAGCAGUGCCAGGUUAUGUCAAAUAAAGAGUUCAUCAGAGUAAUGCCUAAUAGUCCCUGACAUGAUCACAUCUUUUUGAAAUCCUGGUAUCUGUGGCUUUUUUCCUUAACUUCUUUCCCUCUCCCCCAUGUUGUUCAAUGCAUUUUCCAAAGCUGCUUGUUCACGUCAUUCUUAUCAUUAAAAGUGAUCAAUAGGGGCGUCAGCAAAAGAAUUACAAAAAAGAAAAUCUGGAAUCUGAUUCUGGAAUGUUGAAAUAUGUGUUUUAAUUUAAAUUACAAAACUGGACAUCUUAAAUUACAUCAACUGAGACAUGCAAGUAAUACAAAAUAGCAUCUUAAUUGCAUGCUCCCACAGUUGUCAGGUAAAUAGACAUUCUUGCUGGAUCCGAGACCAUAUGUAAUGGUGCAUCUGCCUGCAUUUGAGUGUCAAAAUGUUUCAACUGAAAUAAAAAUAUCUUUUGUUGUUCCUCAAAAGUUCACCAAUUAUGUUCCUUCUGUUCCUUAUUCACUUGUAUCUUGGGAAAAACACAAAACAAAACUCGAUGUUCUUGAACAGUGUGAUAUGCUCCAUUAAUACAGAUUUUCUGAAGCUUUGCUUUGAUAUUCAGUUGUGCAUGCUCUUUCAGGAAGAGAUGAUAUUAAUUAUCCUCUGGUCAAAUCACAUGAGCUAGAGUUUAUCACGUUGUCCUUGCCUUCUUUCUGACUAUUGGAAUCCUGAUUAUUGACCUUCAGAAUUUCCUUUUGUUUCUAGGACAAAAGCGUCAAUCUGGUUCUUUUGAAAAUUAGACUCUGAAGUAAAACAAAAAUCUGAGUUUAAUAUAGAAACAAUUGUGUGUUUGCUUAGACUAUAGGUGAUCAUUUGGUGUUACGAUUUUUUUCUUUCUGGUAAAUAGGUUGUUCUCCCAAGUUUAUUAUCAGCAUCUGAUGCACUGUCCUGCUAAGGGUGAAUUAUUGAAUUCUGGUCUCUAACUCCAAAACAGAAAAUGAAAGCAAUGGCAGGUAAAAUGUAAAUAUCUGUGACUUCUGAGCAUUAGUCCUCUCACUUCUAUACCAUCCCUCAAAAUAUACCAAGGCCUUAUGAUAUUGUGUGUGCAUUCCCCAAGCUGAUACUGCUGUCCUGGACGCACAGUGCUCCCUGUCUCAGAGGUAAUGUUGGCUGCUUCCUCCUAUUCUUGAUGGUUGCAUGUCGUCUUUUUAGUCUGUAUCCAUCCUGUUCUGGUACCUCCCAGUAACAUGGAUCCUCCUGCAAGCUCUUCUCCAUAAGCCAUUACCCUUCUGAAAAGAUGGCAUGAUCUUCAUUCAGGAAUUGUUCUCUAAUUCCUGGGAUAAUAUUUUUCUUGAAUUUCUACUAGCAGAGAUGGUGAUUUUAUUUUCUUUACCUAAAUAUUACUGUCAAACAGUCAGCUUAAUAUCUCUCCCUUGUUGCCUUGCAUAGAUUUUGUGUACUUCCCAUAGAUGUCAUACUUUUAUCUGCAGCUGUUUUGAAAAUGGGCACCUAAGUAAAAGCUCUCUAGUCUCCAUUAAACCAGAUAGUGUUCCACUGCAAAGCAGUUUGUAUACUCUGAAAUUUCUCAGUCGUAUCCAGCAGAAAAUUGAAAGGGGCUUCUUAAUGAAGACAACAAAUCAGGAAAACAAGCUAAGAACAAAGGUGAAUUUCAGAUAAAUGUUCAAACAACUAUAAUGUUAAAACCUUCCCUAUCACCUGUGGUUAAAAAUCGAACUGUCCAUGGAAUUUCAAGAUGAGAUGUGAAAACCAGCUUUGUGGCAUCAUUAGAACUAGCAAUGUAAAGAUGGCAUAGCUACUCCUACUCCAUCUUCCCAUAUUGUGUUUCAGAAGUGUCACAGCAAGCUUACAAAAUGGUUUACGAAAUAUAAAGUGGCAAAAGUAUUUCUGGUUGUUUGUAGAUGCGAGUUACUUUGCUGUAGUGACCACCAUAUGCCAGAGAUGUACAUGCAGCAUAACCUGUUUUUUUCUAAAGCCUACCACAAAGAAUGCAUAAGCUGUGUGUGUUUGGGUAUCUGUCCUCUUCAGUUAUUUAUUUUGGAUUUCUUGAGAGCUAGAUGAGAUUUUUCUGCACUUCCAUGAGCUCUGUCAGCACUUGCUCACUCUACUUGGCACCUCUUCAUUUCUCUCCUGUUUUUUCAGCAGAUUUUCUUAGAGGAAAGCAGAUGAUCUAACACUGAACAAAUUCUAAUUUGUGUUUCUCUUUAUAUACUUUGAGAGGACAGAUGGACAAGUCUGUUAUUUAAUAGUGCUUCUUAAAGAAUCAGCACAGCUCCUAGCAGUCUGCCUGCCUGUCACCAGCAGGCGCAGGCUUCUUGCUAGUUUUAUGUUAAAUAACAGGGAUUUCUGCUCUUGGGAUUCCAGCUGUGACUUAGAGAACAGCACGUUUUUGGAUGGACACUGUGGAUUCCUCAUACUCUUGGGUGGCGAAAAAAGUUAUUUUUCUUUGAGAAAGUUUUGGGUGACCUUCUGUUGAAUAAUCAUGCUGUGCUGGUCCUUGGAGAGUGGGAGCUUCUUUUCAAAGGGGUAAGGCUGCGAUGGUGGUAAACUCUUCAGCAUAUAGCCUCUGUCUGUCAUAUUCAUUAUUAAGAAAUCCCUGAUGCCAGCUCUUGAAUCUGAAAAGGACAAGCUUUGAUUCAUUUCUUCUUUACGUUUUUCUCUUCUCCACUGCCUGGAGGAGCAGUAGGUGCCUGUUACAGUCCACCACUGUUUCACUUGUCCUUAGCAUCACUGUGCCCAGAGACCAAGGGAUCCAGUUGGAAUCACACCGCUUGUGUACUCUGGCUUCCCAGUCUCCAGUUUCUGACCAUUCUGGCGCAGAAGAGAGGGUCCUUUCCAGUGUUGGCCAAAGCUGGGAUGACUUAAACAUUUAUUGGAGUGUGUAAGGACCCAUGGAGCUGUGUUUUUUUACUCUUCAUAGCUUCCUGGAGAUGUUCAGUCCUUCCUAGCAAUGGGUCACCCUCCUUCCUGAGUUGCAGGGAACAAAUUACAUGCUGUUGUCACACGUUUCCACAGAAAACGUCAACAAUUUCACAGCAGACUGGGGUGUUAUCAGUAUUUACUCAGUUUCCUGACAAUUCUGGGCCUGUGGAGCUGAUAUUGGCAGCCCCAUUCCAACGGCAUCUUUUCGAGAUGGCUAGUUGCUAUUUACCAAUCCCUUGCGACAGAUACUUGCUGGUGACUACUUAUUCUCUGGUCAGAGCUGCUGGGCUAACAGAACUGGGUAGUGGUUUGCUCCUGACUUACCACGCUUUGUGUCUUUGUGUACUUGUUAUGAAAGAAUUGGUUUCCAAGCAGAACUGAUUGUGAUUGGUGAUAUUGUGGUGAGAACACAUUGCUAUUUAAGUAGUAAUUGCAUCUUGUCACUGAGGAUGGCCAUUUGUGCUGCUAGUGUCUCUGUUUUUUGGAGAAUGUCUCUUCUGCACAUCUAUGGGAGUGCAGCAAAGACCUUAUUCCCUCUGCUGAGCAGAGAGAAGCUCCUGCAACUGCUUCAAAUUCACCUACAGUGCAGUGUGUAUGUGAACAGAAACUGGAGAACAGAGGGAACCCAGUUAUUUGAUUUCUUUCUUAACAAGUGCAUUCUAUACAUUGCCAUACGUCACUCUUCUUUUAGUCUUUUAAUAUUGGGAUGUGACAAUUGAUGCCUUCCAAAGCACUUUGGCAGCGUUAGACUGCAUGCGUGCUGGAAGGCUUAGUUAAAGCAGAAACUGAGUUUGUGGCAUUGAGGUACUGGGGCAGGAUGUGCACAGGAGGGCACACCAUAAGGAGCUCAGAUAAUUGACUAAUGAAAAAUGCCUCAUGCUCAGAACUGGCAAACAGUGUUCUUGAGUGAUGUUAGGGCACUGUUACUGCUAAUAGAGUAUGGAAAAAUUAAUUUAUAUUAACAAGAAAAAAAAAAACCUGCCAGUAAAGCUUAUUUUUUUAAUUAUUAUUUUGUAGUGGUAUUAAAUAAGAGAAUCUGAUGAGUUGUAUUUAAAGCCCGAGAACCUAUCUUUACUGCAGUUGGGAGAAAUAUUUUCUGUAGGCAAUAUAAAUAAGCUGCACUUCUAAGAUAAUACAGCUUAUCUAUUGGCUAAAAAGUGUUUGGCAUAGCCUUUUUUAUUUUUUUUCCCCCUCUAAUAGAGAUGUUGAGUCCUAGUUUAUGAAAAAGCUUUGGAAGAAGCAGUCCAUGGCUGCUGUACUGAUGCUGCCUUAUAAUAAAAAGUCUCAUAAAAGCAUUAUUUUUAGGAUGUUGUACCUUUGUCCUUUAGGGGAAAAAUAAUUCCCAUAAGAAGCAGAAGUUUUACUUUAUGUCAGAAGAUUGCAAUUAAAUUGAGGAAGCUGAAGGCAUGUUUAAUUUAACUGUAAGAGUGCCUGUAGAGGUGGGUGUAAGACAGGUUGGCCCUGACUGCAGAGGCACAAGAAUGAAAAGAGUUUCCAAGCGUGGUGCCCACCUGGAGCAGUGCAGGUUGUGCCAACUUGGAGAGCUUGUCUCCUUUUAAUGCCGUCUCUGUAGAUUCAUUUGUGUGGGGUUAUGCUGUUCCUUCUCCACAUGAUUUCUGCAGUAGAUCCACUUUAAAAAAUGAAUGUGAUCUUUUAUCUUCAUGGUGUCUCUUAAUACUUAUACAAGCUGUAAGUUCUAUUCUCGUUUUAGAUAUCAAAAAGCUUAGCUUUGGAAAGCUGUAUCUUGUUACUGUCAACAUGCUUUUUACAUUAUGAAUAGACUUGCAAUUAAUCAGUUUUCCUGCGUUGUUUUCUCUCCCGAAGGUUUUAUUUUGAAGGAGAAUCAUCACUAAGCAUUACUAGGCAUUGAAUUAGUUCCCUUUGGACAGAUAGUAGGGAAAUGAAGGAGGAUGAUGUCCUCAUGCCCAGAUUCAUGUGGGUUUCAUGAUUCAUGUGACUGUGAGGCUCUUUAAGUGGAAGUCAUUGAAUAUGCAGGUCCUUCACUGAUUUUUCUGAUUGGGGGGAAAUCUUUUAAAAACCUUUUGCUAUUUUCUGUAAUGCGGUGUAAACAGUGAUGUCCUUUCACAAGCACAUGGAAGGCUGUUCUGUCUGCUGUGCCCACCUCAGGUAAGUAGGACACAGAACAACAAAGAUAGGGGUGGAACAGGCCAGAGAGAAAAGCUGAAAGGUGAUAAAAGAGGUAGGCAUCAUGUGGAGAAGGAUUUGGACUGUGAAUGGAAUUGAACAGUAGAAAAGGGGGAUUGUUCAGCCUUGAGAAGUGAAGGAAGGAGGGAGAUGGAAGGGAUCAGGAAAACUUGAAGAAAGGAGAGAAAUGAUGUAGAGCUGAUGGUUUCAGUAAUUAGCCUUGUAGCUUCAAUGUGGCAACUGCAUCAGCUUGUGAAUAUGUAAUGUGCAGGCCCUGUGUUUGUGUCUGCCUUUCCAGGGGAAGCAACAGUGGCCAAAAAGCGCCAGCCUAUUUUAAGUUAUUUUUAAGAACGAAACAUAAGCAAGAAUUGUGAGGAGUUUUAGAACUGCGUUUUCCUUUAGAUAAAACAUAAAAUCUCUAGAAGAGCUUACUCUGGGCAUUUGGGAAGCUGAGCUAGAUUCUUCAUAAAAAGUUCAUGUGCAUUGCUUUUGAGUUUACAUGAUCUCACCAGUAUGGUUUCUCAUUUGUUGUCUUAUGUCAAAGCUUUCCUCCAUUGUUCCUUUUUUGUCUGUUAUAUCUGAUUGAUUUCUUUUUGGCUUUUGUUAAUCUUUUUUCUUCUGUACUGUGUUUUGGGUCUAUGCAGUUGGUCACCUCUGCACCAUGGAGAAGGGGUUAACAAGCAAAUGCAGCUUGGUGGUUCUUUGUAAUUUCUGUGCAUGUUAGUGUUGCUGGAUCUGAUCACACCUGAUUUGAUGUUGAAUUUUUCCCCAGAGACUCCCUGCGACUUUGGGAUGGCUGACAAUAGGAUGAAUUCCAGAUGUUCCAUCCUCCUGCCACCAGCAGUGUCUUGCCUGGGGCAUUAUUCAGAGGGAGACACUGCAGCUCUCAUGUGCUCUGUAUUUUGAGUUGGUUCUUUCACAGUAGCUUCUGUUCCCCUUUAGAAAAAGGAAAUGAAUCUGUCCCAGAAUGUUGACUGCUUGGCUUUGAGCAGAAAGCGCUCACUGAUGGCCUCAAAGGAAAGGUAUUCAAGGAAGCGAUGACUUUAUUUGCUGGCAGAAUAGCAUCUCUUCCACUACUUCAGUAGAAAACAGUAGAGAUUUGAAUUCUUACCCAUACCAAAGGGACAAGAAGCUGAGAAACUUGAGUUCACUCUGCAAAUCUUUGUUCGUUAGAGACUCUUGCUUUUACCAUCUCUGUCGAAGGACUUCAAUCCUUUUAGCUUCAGGGAGGCCUGGAGGAGUUUCAGAGUCUGUCAGAGAUUCACAUCUCAGCAUACCGACGUUUGUGCGGUGUGCUGAUGAGAGGGGCUUUCUGUGUAUGAUGAUUAUUUCAAUUACUUUACCAGUGCAAGUCCAUGUGCAACUAAAAAGUGAAUUAUUCUCCAAAAUAGUCUCAAAAGUUGGGCGGAAAAAGUGCAGUCUAAUUUUAAGUCCUUCACUGUGUUUGGCUUGGGCCACAAGUGUGCUUGAGAAUGUAGUUACUUCCUCAGUGUACACAUUGUAACAUCAUUUUCUUUCUUAAUUUGUUUGAGCUUUUGCCUUGUCUUUGAUAGGAGCUUUGGCUAAAUGUCAGCAGUCCCCAUGAUAGCUUUUAAUGAGUUUCCAAACAUUGAAUGUUUGGUAUCGUAGAAGUAUAUUGAUUUUACGGUCAAUGAACGUGGCUGAAUAUGGCAAAAUGAGGCUUUUCUUAAUUAAAAAAAAAAAACAAACUGUUUUAACUUCUGGUAUUCGUAAUGUGGCAGCUCUGCUGGAAACGUGCUCACCGAGGGUAGCAUCAGGUCUCCACUGUCAGUUUUCCAUAGACUACCAUAUGCUUCCAGAGCUUGUUCCUUCUGUUAUGAGUUUGAAAUGGACACACAUUUGGUGGGUACAGUAACUCAUUACCUAAAGCUCCUUCUCAUUGGAAAUGAGUUGUAAGCCCUUAGAGCAGGUCAGGCCCAGCCGUUGUGGUGCUGUUCCUCAUGGCACCCAGGCUGGCUGUAAGGUAGUGCAUUGUGACUUUCUCUUUACUGACAGCCUGGGCAUUAGAACUGCUCUUUGUUGGCUGCAAGAGUAUUUGUUCCACGUGUUUCAGUGGAAAGGAAGAUUCAAAUGUGUUCUUUUUUUGUUAAGCGUUUUGUAAAUCUUCUGUAUACUGGAAGGUGAAUUAGUGUGGGUUGAAGGCUCUUAAACCGAUCUGCUGCUUCAAUCACUUGACUUUAGGAAUACAGCAUUGUUUUUCUCUUUGAUUCUUAAACACUGAGGAAAGGCUAAGAUAGGCAGUUGAACUGCAAAUGUUAUGUAACAUAGCGCAUAUUCAUUUUUUAACAUCAAACUUUUACAUCUAAGUAGAGCUAACUUCACUGCUAAAACUAAACUUUACAUAUAAAGAUAAAUUUAUCACUUGAUUAAGACUUCAGAGAUAAACUUUUAUGGUUAAGUGAUUUUUAUCGCAAAAAAGUAAAUGUAAGUUAUGAGUAAGGAGUGGCCAGAGCUGCAGCCUGCUGGAUGUUUUCUGAAGACAAAUAACAGAUUAUUUAAUUACAGGCAAGGUGUUGUCACAGGUGAUGAGCUCUUCCCUUGUUGGUUUGCUGCCAGAGUAUCAGCUCUUCUUGUUUUUUUAAUAGCAGCAUGAUAAAUAAUAGGGUGGCAUAAAGCUUGUCAUAGUCUUUCAUAGUUUUGUAGUACUUUCUCCUUUUAAUAACUUGCUGCUUUUGAGCUCUGUCACAUGCUAACUCCAAGUGUGGGUGCUUGCUUGUCCUGCUCAACUGUUUUAUUCCAACUGGAGCUGUGAUCCAUUUAUUCUGUUGUUUAGUUAGCUUACUGGUUUGUAGUGUUGUUGUGCUCCUGCUUCUUUGGGACAUGAAGCUUCGUACUGAGCUGAGCCAAUGUGUUGAAGAAGCUCUGGGGUCUCUGUUUUGCUGAACGUGAGUGCUCUUGAGGAGAAGCUGUUUGCCUUCUCAGAACACUGAAAUGUAGAGUAAAUGAAUGACUGCAUCUCAAGCCAGCAGUAUCUUUUCUUGAGUGGUGCUGGUUUUAGAAGUUUUCAGGUCUGAGCAGAAUGCUCAGGCCAUUUUUCUCAAUAGAAUGUUUUACUAAAUGCAAUGAAUGAUGCUUACUGUUUUCAUAUAGGAAACACGUGUCCCUUGCCUGAGAACUAAUUCACUGUUAUGUUUAAUUAGAAGUCAGCUUCUUUUGUAUCAUUAUGUGAGAGGUAACUGUCUGGGCUGAGAUGAAUAGAAUAUAAUUACAAGUUUUGCCUCUUUGAAUUUUACUUUCUCUUGGGUAACAUGGCGUGACUUCAUUUUGGUGCCGGUUUGUGUUUAAAAAUAUCCUCUUUCAAAGUUUUGUGGCUGUUCAAGUUCCAUUCCUGCUAUUUUUGCCUUUACUUUUAGAAGGUGGAAAUGUAGAGAUGUUUUUGUUGCAGUAUCUUCACAGUUAGCCUUGGUCAUGAGCUGCUGCUUUCUGCUCCAUUGGUAACUACUGCAGUUUUUGUUAAUUUUGUGGAAACUUCCAAGUAAUACUGUGUAAUUCUGCAGAGAACAAAACUACAAGGAAAAAACAAUAGCCAUUUUCAGGAAUAAAAGCAAUAAAACUUGAGUAUUUUCAAAUCUGCUCUGAUAAGCCCUAAGAAUUAUAAACCUCUUAAAUAAGGUUGGGGCAUUGCCAUCCUCUUGCAUUACCUUUUCUCCCAAUACUGUUUUUACAGAAGCAUUGUAUGCUUCUGUAAGUUUGUCACCUUCAAAAGAAAGAAAUGCAUCCCAAAAGUGAGGGUAAUUUUUCUUUCUACAUGUUUAUCUACUGAGUUUGUAGAGCUUAAAAUGUUUGAAGUGUGUAGAGUCCGGGGUCUGAGCCUAGAAUUUCAGAGGGUCAUAAUCCCUGACAGAAUGCUGUGGUUGAGGUCAGCAUGACACAGCUUUGGAGAACCAUUGGGUUGGCUUCAUGUUGCACCUCAUAAGAAAUACAGAUGGAAUCAUGCUGUCUUUUUUUUCUGGACAGGAUCUAUGAAAAUGACCCUUUUACAGAGUAGAUUUUUAUAGUUUACAAAUCUGGGAAGCUUAGACCACUUCGAGAUCACUUGAGAAGCAAAACUCCCCCCUCUCCAGGUUCUUCUAUUUUUAUUUCAGCUUCAAAGGCUUCAUAACACAGCUGCCAUGACUAGAACUAAUGCUGCCCAUUCAGCCAGCUGCUAUGGAUUGAUCUGUGUGUAUUCCAGUGGUUGGUAACCAGAUCUGAUUUUCUCCAUUGCUCUUUUCUGUUAAAGCUGCCUUCUGGUAAUUGUGGAUGAGGCUUGUUGGGUAUAGAGAAUGCAUGACUUGUUCUUUUACAGUCAUAUCAAGUUAUAACAUGCAACUUUGUAGCAUACAGAGGUGUUUUUCCCCUGCUUUAUCUACUCAGUUGUAUCCAGUGGUUGAAGGCCAGCAGUUUGUAUUUUAUUUUUUCUCUUUUGGCUUCUUAAACUAUGUUAAAAAUGCAGCUUCUGGUUUUAGUUUAUCUGAACUUGCAGUGAUUUCAGCUUUUUUUUUUUACUUUUGGUGAGCAAAUAGUUUAGGCUUCCCAACCUUACAGUUGCAUGGAAACUAGAAUUUCUUUUUAGUGCAAAAUCAAAUUUAAAACUAUUUAACCUAUUUUAGGGAACAUGUUAAAAAAACUUACUGCGAGUUUAUUUUGGGAAGUUUCUAUCAAGACGAUAUUUUGGUAAUGUUCCUCUAUAACCUCCAUUUAUUAAAUCCUAUUAUAGAAUUGAGUCAUGAAACCAAAAUAAGAAAUCCAGCUUUGGGAAUAGGAAGUGUUGUAUUAGCAAUCAUCUGUGUUAGGGUCAUGGACUGCCAUUUUAAAACAUAUUUUCAAAUAAGGGCAGGUUCUGAGUCUAAUCCACUUGAAAUCAUUGGAGGUGGAAGUGAGUUUGGAAAGCUGUUCUGUUCAUUCCUAAUAGUCUUUUAAAAGAAUAAAAAGCCUCCAAAUAUCAUAAUCUAGCAGCUGCGUACCAAGAAAGAGGUGAUUUGUUUUAUUAAUACAUUUGCAUAUUUAUUUAUAAUACUUAAAAAAUAGAGGGGUAGUUAAAUUCACCAUUCUGUGAUACUUAAUACUCUUCUUCCUCAUCCUCUGUGCAGGCAGCUUUAUCCUUUUCUGCCCUUACACAAAGAACAUUGUGUGUGGGAAGGUGCGGUGAGCUGGGCCUCACCCUGGCUUGCAAUUGGCUUCGGUCAGCUGUAAAAUUUGGUUGUUUUAGUGUUCUGGCCUCCCUGAUGGCUGUAAUGACCACUGGGGACCCAUCCAAUAACAUCUGGUAAUGAUCUGUUACUUAUUGUGACCUUGUCUCUUCCCUUCUUUGACUUCCUGCAAAUUCACAGCAUCUGUUUUCAUAUUACAGGCUUGAAACUACCAAUAUACUCUAAGAUGUUCCUGGCUUCAGCAGCACGCUCAACUUCCUCUUGCGCUGUUAUUCUUUUCCUAAAGUGUUCCAUAAAGCUGUCACACUAUGAUCAAGUGACUCCUUAGAGAUUGGCUCUAGGUUGUUGUUUACAGAAAGCUAUGAAUGCAGAAUGGCUUAAUAGAGAGAUAGCAGCUCUGUUUGGGCUCGUUAGGGUGCCUACGGGUACACCGGAUGUAGCAGGUUGCCAGUCAGAAUGUGGUAUGGACUAUUCUUGGAUAAUACAUUUGAAACUUAAGAUUGGAUUCAAAGUGAACCACGUUGAGCUUAUUUGGAGUCUAGAUUUGUAAUUCCAUUUAUUUUCGUUCUAUGCAAAUUUUCAGUGUCACCUCAGGUCAUGCCUAAUCUGGAGCAGCUUCCAAGCUUCCCAUACUGUCCUAUUUCAGACCCAAAGAAGAGAAAGUGAGAAGCUGAGUUUGAGGCCUUGUUUCAGAGCACUGGGUGUAUGGCAGUUCAAGUAUAAUGAGUAUUGAUGUUAAUUAGUCAGAAGCAUCACUUAUAAUAGACUGUUCUGUUAGCUGCAGUCUUAUUCUUGGGGGAAGGGAGGAGAGCAAGAGGGUACUGUUGAGUUGAAUGGUUUAGUUUUCAGAUGAAGCAGUAGAUUGCUGUGGUGCUACUGAACUAACUUUCUGCAUUCUGUUAUGCAUGUUCCAGCUUUCUCUAACUGAUUGUCUGCUAUCCUGUGUAGGGUGACCAAAUACUUAUUCAUAUUUUCAUUUAUUAUUUUUAUAUUGGAAAGAAUGCAAUAUUGGCAGUGAUGGAGGAAGACACUUCAUCUUGUAGUUGCAAUUAUAAAAAUCCCACUUGAUGUCGUGCAGCAGUUGCUCAGAUUUGAAACCCCAAUCACAAGUAGUAUUGUAAAGCAUUUCCCAAGGAGGGGUUCAUUUACAAAAAGUGUCUUCAAAUAAUUUUAGGACUGAGAGUAAUUAUUAAAUUAGUUGUCAAGCCUGUACCAAAAUCCACAGCCAAUCCCCCAAAGCCACACACAUGAAAGAUGUUGUAAUAUGUUGUAUAAAUCUUCUAUAUUUUCUUUGCACUUCUUGUAGUUCUUUUCUCCUAAUUGAGUUAUGUGGAUAAUGUUAGUAUCUGCAUCAUCAACUACAUCCACACUACAUUAUAUUUCGAGGAUUUUCUAUAAGUCCAGCCUACUCUUCCACCUGUUGUAUCCAAUUUGUGUGAUGUGCUGGUCCCAGAUCAGCAGAUGGGCUGUGCAGUGGCAGUAGAUGUCUUCUGGGUCACUAGAACUUGUAAACAAAUUGGAAAGCAUUUCAGAAGCUUUGCUCUUAAUCUGGCAGUGCAGUAGGUUCUUCAGAUUAGCCAUGAAAAAGAAAAUUUCUCAUGUCCUUGCAUGCAUUUGGGCAUACUGCACUAUACGAAAGUAGUUGUCUUAUGUGCAGUACAGGCUGCUAAGUCUCUUAAAGUACUUUUUACUUUGAGUCAGCAAAUCAGUUGCGCUCUUGGAUAAACUAAAUUUCAGUUAAUUACUUUCUUAACCAACUGCUUAAUUAUUAAGCUGCUUAAAAUGGGUUAGUUUAUUGUAAGCCAAGCAAGUUGUCAUUUUACAGUUUUAUAGAAAAGAAUAGAGAAUGCUGAAAAUUCACAUUGGAAGCUUCUGUAUGCUCUUUAAUGCCCUAACCAAGCAAGUAUCACAGGAAUGUUCUGCCCUUUGAUAGGGAACACUCCCUAGAAUUGCUUCAUUGCUUGAAACCUGAGCUGAGGCAGGAACUGCACGGCUUACUCCCUCUGUAGACCUGAGAGACCCUGUGUGGACAGUAAUGACCGCACGUUUCCGAUUGCCUGCUGGCAGAACCUACAAUGUACGAGCAUCUGAGCUGGCACGAGACAGGCAGCAUACGGAGGUGGUCUGCAACAUUCUUCUCCUGGAUAACACUGUACAAGCUUUCAGAGUUAAUAAACACGAUCAGGGACAAGUUCUGUUGGAUAUAGUCUUCAAACAUCUCGAUUUGACAGAGAGGGAUUACUUUGGUUUACAGCUGGCGGAUGAACCCACUGAUAACCCUAGGUGGUUGGAUCCAAACAAACCUAUCAGGAAACAAUUAAAAAGAGGAUCUCCUCACAGUUUGAACUUGAGAGUUAAGUUUUUUGUAAGUGACCCAAACAAGCUCCAAGAAGAAUAUACAAGGUACCAGUAUUUUUUACAGAUUAAACAGGACAUUCUUACUGGAAGAUUGCCCUGUCCAUAUAAUACUGCUGCUCUUCUGGCUUCCUAUGCUGUUCAAUCUGAGCUGGGAGACUACAACCAUUCAGAAAACCUGCCAGGCUACCUCUCAGACUAUUCUUUCAUCCCUGGCCAGCCUCAAGACUUUGAAAAAGAGAUAGCAAAGCUACAUCAGCAGCACAUAGGGUUGUCUCCUGCAGAAGCAGAGUUCAAUUAUCUCAAUACAGCACGUACCUUAGAACUCUAUGGAGUUGAAUUGCACUAUGCACGGGAUCAGAGUAACAACGAAAUAAUGAUUGGAGUGAUGUCAGGUGGAAUACUGAUCUUUAAGAACAGAGUACGAAUUAACACCUUCCCAUGGUUGAAGAUUGUAAAAAUUUCUUUUAAAUGCAAACAGUUUUUUGUUCAACUUAGGAAAGAAUUGCAUGAAUCCAGAGAAACAUUACUGGGCUUCAAUAUGGUGAAUUACCGAGCAUGUAAGAACCUGUGGAAAGCCUGUGUUGAACAUCACACGUUCUUCCGUUUGGACCGACCGCUCCCCCCUCAGAAGAACUUUUUUGCACAUUAUUUCACUUUGGGUUCAAAGUUCCGGUACUGUGGGAGAACAGAGGUCCAGUCUGUGCAGUAUGGCAAAGAAAGAGCAAACAAAGACAGGGUAUUUGCAAGAUCCCCCAGUAAACCUUUGGCACGGAAACUCAUGAGUGGGAUGGACUGGGAAGUAGUGAGCAGGAACUCUCUGUCUGACGAUAGGUUAGAAACCCAAAGCUUACCAUCACGGUCUCCACCUGGAACCCCAAAUCACCGCAACUCCGCCUUCACUCAAGAAGGAGCUCGGUUACGACCCUCCUCAGUUGGACAUUUAGUGGACCAUGUAGUUCACACUUCACCAAGUGAAGUGUUUGUGAACCACAGAUCUCCAUCUUCCACCCAGGCUAACAGCAUAAUACUGGAAUCAUCACCAUCUCAAGAAACUCCCAUAGAUGGGCAGCCUCCUGCAUUACCACCCAAACAAUUCAAGAAGAACAGUUGGAACCAAAUUCAUCAUUCACACUCACAGCAAGAACUGGAUAACCACAUCAAUGAAGCAUUUGAUGUCCCUGCAUCUCCUGAAAAGUCCACACCCAAUGGUGGUGUUCCCCAUGACAAUCUUGUUAUGAUCAGAAUGAAACCAGAUGAAAACGGAAGGUUUGGCUUCAAUGUAAAGGGUGGAUAUGAUCAGAAGAUGCCAGUAAUAGUGUCCCGGGUAGCUCCAGGAACGCCCGCUGAUCUUUGUGUCCCUCGUUUGAAUGAAGGAGACCAGGUUGUACUUAUCAAUGGCAGGGAUAUAGCAGAACAUACCCAUGAUCAAGUUGUUAUGUUCAUUAAAGCUAGCUGUGAGAGGCACUCAGGGGAACUUGUGCUCCUCGUUCGACCCAAUGCUGUAUAUGAUGUUGUGGAAGAGAAGCUGGAAAGUGAACCUGACUUCCAAUACAUCCCUGAGAAAUCUCCACUUGAUGGUGUCCAUCAAGAUGAUAAUGCUCUGAGAGAAUCCAUGAUUCAGCUAGCAGAGGGGCUUAUCACUGGAACUGUUUUAGCUCAAUUUGAUCAACUGUAUAGGAAAAAGCCUGGAAUGACAAUGUCUUGUGCCAGAUUACCUCAAAACAUUUCCAAAAAUAGAUACAGAGACAUUUCGCCUUAUGAUGCUACACGGGUUAUUUUAAAAAGUAAUGAAGAUUACAUCAAUGCAAAUUAUAUAAAUAUGGAAAUCCCUUCUUCCACAAUAAUAAACCAGUACAUUGCCUGUCAAGGUCCAUUGCCAAACACUUGUCCUGAUUUUUGGCAGAUGACUUGGGAACAAGGCUCAUCUAUGGUUGUAAUGUUAACAACUCAAGUUGAACGGGGCAGGGCAGACUCCCUGCUCUAAAGCUGAUCAUGAGGCUUCUGACAUCACUAUCCCACUGCAUGCCGGGGUGUCUCAGUGGAGCAGGAAGUCUGCAAAUCUGGCUGCUCUUAAAGAAUCGCCAGGUUAAAUGCCAUCAAUACUGGCCAGAGCCAUCAGGAAGCUCAUCGUAUGGCAAUUUCCAGAUUACCUGCCAUUCAGAAGAAGGAAAUCCUGCUUACGUCUUUCGAGAAAUGAC